AUCCAGCUUACGAGUCCCACACAGAACGAAAUGCGCGUCGUGCAU
Molecule: non-coding RNA, 45 nt
Filed under: Schistosoma margrebowiei
Lineage: Eukaryota; Metazoa; Platyhelminthes; Trematoda; Strigeidida; Schistosomatidae
Source: RNAcentral